UACGAAGGGGGCGAGCGUUGUUCGGAUUUACUGGGCGUAAAGGGCGCGCAGGCGGCUUUGUUUGUCAGGCGUGAAAGCCCCGGGCUUAACCUGGGAACUGCGUUUGAUACGGCAGGGCUAGAGUUCGGGAGAGGAGAGUGGAAUUCCUAGUGUAGAGGUGAAAUUCGUAGAUAUUAGGAAGAACACCAGUGGCGAAGGCGGCUCACUGGCCCGGUACUGACGCUGAGGCGCGAAAGCGUGGGGAGCAAACAGG
Molecule: ribosomal RNA, 253 nt
Filed under: uncultured bacterium
Lineage: Bacteria
Description: partial 16S ribosomal RNA
Rfam family: Bacterial small subunit ribosomal RNA
Source: RNAcentral